CCUACGGGGAGCUGCAGUAGGGAAUAUUGCUCAAUGGGGGAAACCCUGAAGCAGCAACGCCGCGUGGAGGAUGAAGGUUUUCGGAUUGUAAACCUCUGUCCUCUGUGAAGAUAAUGACGGUAGCAGAGGAGGAAGCUCCGGCUAACUACGUGCCAGCAGCCGCGGUAAUACGUAGGGAGCAAGCGUUGUCCGGAUUUACUGGGUGUAAAGGGUGCGUAGGCGGCUUUGCAAGUCAGAAGUGAAAUCCAUGGGCUUAACCCAUGAACUGCUUUUGAAACUGCAGAGCUUGAGUGGAGUAGAGGUAGGCGGAAUUCCCGGUGUAGCGGUGAAAUGCGUAGAGAUCGGGAGGAACACCAGUGGCGAAGGCGGCCUACUGGGCUCUAACUGACGCUGAGGCACGAAAGCGUGGGUAGCAAACAGGAUUAGAUACCCCUUGUAGUC
RNAcentral lists this ribosomal RNA (441 nucleotides) under uncultured bacterium. RNAcentral's name for it is "partial 16S ribosomal RNA". It matches the Rfam family "Bacterial small subunit ribosomal RNA", at positions 338 to 795 of the family's 1533-position model. The record is from RNAcentral.